Molecule: long non-coding RNA, 901 nt
Organism: Triticum dicoccoides
Lineage: Eukaryota; Viridiplantae; Streptophyta; Magnoliopsida; Poales; Poaceae
Exons: 4
Source: RefSeq, a predicted model, not a curated record
CUCCCCACCUAUCCAAUCGUCCUCUUGCUCCGACUCCAGGCCAUGAGCUACUCCCCGCCAAUGGCUCCGCCCCGCGCCUCCUCACGGCUGUGCCGCGGGCGAUGUGCGCUGUCCCCGGCUGCACGUCCCUUUCCUCCUCCCGGCAACGCGCCGCUCGCCUCCUCCCGCCCACAUGCCCCAGUGACUCCUCCCUGCUCGACUCCCGGCGAGUCGUGCCGCCCCCGGUCACAUUGGGACACACCUCCUCCCGGCUCCAUCUCCUCCUUGCCGUCUCCUACUGGUGAAAGCUUCGUCUCUUACUUUGGUUGAGGGUCUGAUAAUGGACGUAAGACAGCUGUUGGAUAGGAGAUUAAAAUAUGGAAGAUAGAAGCAGACGAGGUAGCUGAAGCUGGUAGAUCAAUUGAGCAAGAGCCCCAGAUCCAGGCUUAAACUAAUCUGGCAGCAGGGUAUCAUGUGCCCGCUCACCUGUUGGUGCGCGGCUGGUGGAUACGGAGAGAUCGGCGAUGAGGAGACCCUCGCCGUCCUUCUGAUUGCCCUCAGUUGCGGGAUGUGAUGGCGGAGUUGUUCUGCAACUGCCCAGGGGUCAUGGAAGAUGGAGAACUUCCUAACGCAGUAUGCGAGCGGGGACGACAGAGAACUUCCUGGCACAGUGUGCCCGCGAGUGGGUUUCAAGACAGUUCAUGGUACAAGGUCAAGCUCAGCUUGGAAAAAGUGGAGCAGCUGCGUGAAGAGGUUGAUUAAUUGAAGGAAAUCAUCGAGAAGCUAUUACUAUCUUUCAUGCAUUUCAUGUGUAAAAGUAAUUUCGAAGGAUGCAUGGAUUCGAUAGAUUAUGGAUUAACACAGCUUAUGUGUGUCCAUGGAUUGGAGAGAAUAUGAAUACACAUGUAACUAUAGCUUCAUU